Molecule: long non-coding RNA, 2116 nt
Organism: Homo sapiens (human)
Lineage: Eukaryota; Metazoa; Chordata; Mammalia; Primates; Hominidae
Source: Ensembl
GGGGGUGCGCCCUGUGACGGAUUUUAGGCUUGAAAAGUCGGGGGCGGGGGAAUGUAACCAGGACUCUCCCAUCCAAGGCAUGCAGACUGGGGAAUGUUUCGGUGUACAAGAGAUGAAAUAGGGAUGGAGUGCCCCCCACGUUCUUUCUGCAAGUGCCUAUUUGUGAGUGUGUGUAUCUGGGAUUUUCAGUGCUUUACCGGGGCUCUUGUGCAGAGUGCACGGUGAAGGCUGCGAGGGUCUCACUCUGUUACCCAGGCUGGAGUGGUGCAAUGGCACAAUCUCAGCUCACUGCAACCCCUGCCACUGCAACCCUUGCCUCCAGGUUCAAGUGCUUCUCUUGCCUCAGCCUUCCAAGUAGCUGGGAUUACAGGCACCUGCCACCACACCUGGCUGAUUUUUGUAUUUUUAACAGAGACGGGGUUUCACCAUGUUGGCCAAGCUGGUCUCAAACUCCUGACCUCAAGUGAUCUGCCUGCCUCAGCCUCCCAAAAUGCUGGGAUUACAGGUGUAAGCCACCAUGCCCAGCCAGGUAUGCAUUUCAUAGUGUAUGAAUCAUACCUCAAAAUUUAUAAAAAUAAAAAAGGAUUUUAAAAAAUGAACAGCCCUUUAGGUAUGGGAGGAGGCGAGGAGUAAGAAAGGUGAAUGGACUCUGCAUUACCACUUGCCGAUCGCUAGAUGUUACCAUGUUACAGUGGAAGGAAUGCAAACAAUAAUUUUUCCCAUUUUUUUUUUUGUUAUGUCCACCAUGUAACCGGACACACAGAAUUUUUUUUUUUUUUUUUUUUUUUUUUUGAGACGAAGUCUCACUCUGUCGCCCAGGCUGGAGUGCAGUGGCGCAUCUCGGCUCACUGCAAGCUCCGUCUCCCACGUUCACGCCAUUCUCCUGCCUCAGCCUCCCGAGUAGCUGGGACUACAGGCGUCUGCCACCAUGCAGCUAAUUUUUUGUAUUUUUUUUUUUAGUAGAGAUGGGGUUUCACCGUGUUAGCCAGGAUGGUCACGAUCUCCUGACCUCGUGAUCCGCCUGCCUCGGCCUCCCAAAGUGCUGGGAUUACCGGCAUGAGCCACCAUUUCCGGCAACAGGCAGACUUUUAACACAUUCCUUACCUAAACUUUUAAAAGGGACAAAAGAUAUAUGCCUUUGGUUUGGGAGAUGACGAAACAUAUGCUUUAAUGACUAUUGGGUUGGAAUCUUCUUGAGAGAGGAUCCUUCUUAGCCUAGACUAGAGUCUUCAAAAGCCCACAGUGCUUCGUAAAGUUUCAUACGUGGAAGAGAGAAGGAUGUUCCACUGGAAAAGCAGAAUUGCAGCUGAGCUGUCCUGAAAUGCCCAGCACUCUGUGGAGACGCGGAGGAGGUUUCCUGGGACAAAGUGCUGAACCAGCUACAGCCACAAGCUGUCUCCACCAUCAGAUGUGGCUUACCUGGUUCCUGAGUCAAUUCCAUCCAGGUAGGAGGAAUCCUAUCAGAAAGUAUGUGAGUGCGUUUGCAGAGUGCAUUCCUGUGGAGCCCCCUUAUCUCUGGCUGCAUCUGCUUCUGCAGGGAGAAAGUAUCCCUGCUGUGAGAGGUCUGGGAUCUGGAGUACAGAGGAUGGUGAAGCCAAGGCCUGAAGACCUUUCCUGCAAGGUCGCAGAGGAAGAGGCAGAAGAAGGACCAGAACCCAGCUCCCCUGACUCCCUAUCCAGUGCUCUUCUCAUAGAUUACAUUGCUUCAGCAUCCACCUGGCUAUUGCUCCAUCCAGGGGUUACAGGAGUCACUGACUGUUUUGGUUGCUUCUUGGUUGGAGGAUGUUGUGCCUCACCGAUGAGAGCCGGAAGCAAAGGUACCAGUUCUUAGAGGAAGCAUAGGAAUGUGUCCCUUCCUGCUCGGGUCUCUCAACUGAACUCAACCCUUCCUUGAUUGAUUGACAAGCAUGUUAUCUCUCAUAAUCCCUGCCCGGUAAGGGCUGAUGUCCCCAUUUUACAGAUGAGGAUAUUGGAGCUCAGAGAAGUGAAAUGAUUGCUGAAGGUCACACAGCCUGGCUUCAAGCCUCUCGGGCUCCAAAAGGCAUCUUCUGUUCUCUCCGUCAGGAAGCCUCUUUUGGAUGAUUAACUGAGAUUAAAAAUGAAAAGACACAUGAAA